RNAcentral lists this ribosomal RNA (462 nucleotides) under uncultured bacterium. RNAcentral's name for it is "partial 16S ribosomal RNA". It matches the Rfam family "Bacterial small subunit ribosomal RNA", at positions 31 to 507 of the family's 1533-position model. The record is from RNAcentral.
GAACGCUGGCGGCGUGCUUAACACAUGCAAGUCGAACGGAAAGGCCCCUUUGGGGGUACUCGAGUGGCGAACGGGUGAGUAACACGUGAGUAACCUGCCCUUGACUUCGGGAUAACUUCAGGAAACUGGGGCUAAUACCGGAUAGGAAUCCUUGCUGCAUGGUGGGGGUUGGAAAGCUUCGGCGGUUUUGGAUGGACUCGCGGCUUAUCAGCUUGUUGGUGGGGUAGUGGCUUACCAAGGCUUUGACGGGUAGCCGGCCUGAGAGGGCGACCGGCCACAUUGGGACUGAGAUACGGCCCAGACUCCUACGGGAGGCAGCAGUGGGGAAUAUUGCACAAUGGGCGGAAGCCUGAUGCAGCAACGCCGCGUGCGGGAGGACGGCCUUCGGGUUGUAAACCGCUUUCAGCAGGGGCGAAGCUUGUGGUGACGGUACCUGCAGAAGAAGCACCGGCUAACUACGUG